UAGGGAAUCUUCCGCAAUGGGCGAAAGCCUGACGGAGCAACGCCGCGUGAGUGAUGAAGGUCUUCGGAUCGUAAAACUCUGUUAUUAGGGAAGAACAAAUGUGUAAGUAACUAUGCACGUCUUGACGGUACCUAAUCAGAAAGCCACGGCUAAAUACGUGCCAGCAGCCGCGGUAAUACGUAGGUGGCAAGCGUUAUCCGGAAUUAUUGGGCGUAAAGCGCGCGUAGGCGGUUUUUUAAGUCUGAUGUGAAAGCCCACGGCUCAACCGUGGAGGGUCAUUGGAAACUGGUAAACUUGAGUGCAGAAGAGGAAAGUGGAAUUCCAUGUGUAGCGGUGAAAUGCGCAGAGAUAUGGAGGAACACCAGUGGCGAAGGCGACUUUCUGGUCUGUAACUGACGCUGAUGUGCGAAAGCGUGGGGAUCAAACAGG
Molecule: ribosomal RNA, 429 nt
Filed under: Actinomycetes bacterium
Lineage: Bacteria; Bacillati; Actinomycetota; Actinomycetes
Description: Actinobacteria bacterium partial 16S ribosomal RNA
Rfam family: Bacterial small subunit ribosomal RNA
Source: RNAcentral